AAUAGAUACCCUGGUAGUCCACGCCGUAAACGAUGAGUGCUAAGUGUUAGAGGGUUUCCGCCCUUUAGUGGCUGCAGCUAACGCAUUAAGCACUCCGCCUGGGGAGUACGGUCGCAAGACUGAAACUCAAAGGAAUUGACGGGGGCCCGCACAAGCGGUGGAGCAUGUGGUUUAAUUCGAAGCAACGCGAAGAACCUUACCAGGUCUUGACAUCCCACUGACCGGUAUAGAGAUAUACCUUUCCCUUCGGGGACAGUGGUGACAGGUGGUGCAUGGUUGUCGUCAGCUCGUGUCGUGAGAUGUUGGGUUAAGUCCCGCAACGAGCGCAACCCUUGAUCUUAGUUGCCAGCAUUUAGUUGGGCACUCUAAGGUGACUGCCGGUGACAAACCGGAGGAAGGUGGGGAUGACGUCAAAUCAUCAUGCCCCUUAUGACCUGGGCUACACACGUGCUACAAUGGAUGGUACAAAGGGCUGCAAGACUGCGAAGUCAAGCCAAUCCCAUAAAACCAUUCUCAGUUCGGAUUGCAGG
This 530-nucleotide ribosomal RNA is filed under the name uncultured bacterium. RNAcentral's name for it is "bacterial SSU rRNA". It matches the Rfam family "Bacterial small subunit ribosomal RNA", at positions 777 to 1304 of the family's 1533-position model. The record is from RNAcentral.